GCCAGGCAUGGUGGUGCACACCUGUAGUCCCAGCUACUCAGGAGGCUGAGGCAGGAGGACCGCUUGGGCCCAGGAGUUCUGGGCUGUCAUGUACUAUGCCGAUUGGGUGUCCUCACUAAGUUCAGCAUCCAGUGUGGUGAUCGCUCAGGAGUGGGGGGCCAUCAGGUUGCCUAAGGAGAGGUGAGCCAGCCCAGGUGGGAACAGCCUAGAGGAAAACAGACCAGCGUGAAGGUAGAAAAGUAGCUUCUAUGUGAAAGGAUUUUAACUUUU
This 270-nucleotide small RNA is filed under the name Marmota monax (woodchuck). It matches the Rfam family "Metazoan signal recognition particle RNA", at positions 1 to 220 of the family's 299-position model. From Rfam's summary of the family: The signal recognition particle (SRP) is a universally conserved ribonucleoprotein. It is involved in the co-translational targeting of proteins to membranes. Lineage: Eukaryota; Metazoa; Chordata; Mammalia; Rodentia; Sciuridae. The record is from RNAcentral.